Molecule: ribosomal RNA, 495 nt
Filed under: uncultured bacterium
Lineage: Bacteria
Description: partial 16S ribosomal RNA
Rfam family: Bacterial small subunit ribosomal RNA
Source: RNAcentral
UGACCGCUGGCGGCGUGCCUAAUACAUGCAAGUCGAGCGAACGGACGAGAAGCUUGCUUCUCUGAAGUUAGCGGCGGACGGGUGAGUAACACGUGGAUAACCUACCUAUAAGACUGGGAUAACUUCGGGAAACCGGAGCUAAUACCGGAUAAUAUUUUGAACCGCAUGGUUCAAAAGUGAAAGACGGUCUUGCUGUCACUUAUAGAUGGAUCCGCGCUGCAUUAGCUAGUUGGUAAGGUAACGGCUUACCAAGGCAACGAUGCAUAGCCGACCUGAGAGGGUGAUCGGCCACACUGGAACUGAGACACGGUCCAGACUCCUACGGGAGGCAGCAGUAGGGAAUCUUCCGCAAUGGGCGAAAGCCUGACGGAGCAACGCCGCGUGAGUGAUGAAGGUCUUCGGAUCGUAAAACUCUGUUAUUAGGGAAGAACAUAUGUGUAAGUAACUGUGCACAUCUUGACGGUACCUAAUCAGAAAGCCACGGCUAACUACGUG